Molecule: ribosomal RNA, 680 nt
Filed under: Burkholderia sp. Ms98
Lineage: Bacteria; Pseudomonadati; Pseudomonadota; Betaproteobacteria; Burkholderiales; Burkholderiaceae
Description: bacterial SSU rRNA
Rfam family: Bacterial small subunit ribosomal RNA
Source: RNAcentral
GGCGAGUGGCGAACGGGUGAGUAAUACAUCGGAACGUGUCCUGUAGUGGGGGAUAGCCCGGCGAAAGCCGGAUUAAUACCGCAUACGAUCUACGGAUGAAAGCGGGGGAUCGCAAGACCUCGCGCUAUAGGGGCGGCCGAUGGCGGAUUAGCUAGUUGGUGGGGUAAAGGCCCACCAAGGCGACGAUCCGUAGCUGGUCUGAGAGGACGACCAGCCACACUGGGACUGAGACACGGCCCAGACUCCUACGGGAGGCAGCAGUGGGGAAUUUUGGACAAUGGGCGCAAGCCUGAUCCAGCAAUGCCGCGUGUGUGAAGAAGGCCUUCGGGUUGUAAAGCACUUUUGUCCGGAAAGAAAUCCUCUGGGUUAAUACCCCGGGGGGAUGACGGUACCGGAAGAAUAAGCACCGGCUAACUACGUGCCAGCAGCCGCGGUAAUACGUAGGGUGCGAGCGUUAAUCGGAAUUACUGGGCGUAAAGCGUGCGCAGGCGGUGAUGUAAGACCGAUGUGAAAUCCCCGGGCUUAACCUGGGAACUGCAUUGGUGACUGCAUCGCUGGAGUAUGGCAGAGGGGGGUAGAAUUCACGUGUAGCAGUGAAAUGCGUAGAGAUGUGGAGGAAUACCGAUGGCGAAGGCAGCCCCCUGGGCCAAUACUGACGCUCAUGCACGAAAGCGUGGGGA